RNAcentral lists this ribosomal RNA (520 nucleotides) under uncultured Scutellospora. RNAcentral describes it as "SSU rRNA". It matches the Rfam family "Eukaryotic small subunit ribosomal RNA", at positions 569 to 1092 of the family's 1831-position model. The record is from RNAcentral. Lineage: Eukaryota; Fungi; Glomeromycota; Glomeromycetes; Diversisporales; Gigasporaceae.
AGCAGCCGCGGUAAUUCCAGCUCCAAUAGCGUAUAUCAAAGUUGUUGCAGUUAAAAAGCUCGUAGUUGAAUUUCGGGGUUCUACCGUUGGUCAGGCUAUUGUCUGUACUGGUGUGUAGAAUUUCUACUUUCUGGGGAACUAUCAUGUUAUUAAUUUAGCGUGGUAGGAAACCAGGACCUUUACCUUGAAAAAAUUAGAGUGUUCAAAGCAGGCUUAUGUCUGAAUACAUUAGCAUGGAAUAAUAAAAUAGGACGGUGGUCCUGUUUUGUUGGUUUCUGAAUCACCGUAAUGAUUAAUAGGGAUAGUUGGGGGCAUUAGUAUUCAAUUGUCAGAGGUGAAAUUCUUGGAUUUAUUGAAGACUAACUACUGCGAAAGCAUUUGCCAAGGAUGUUUUCAUUAAUCAAGAACGAAAGUUAGGGGAUCGAAGACGAUCAGAUACCGUCGUAGUCUUAACCAUAAACUAUGCCGACUAGGGAUCGGAUGAUGUUAAUUUUUUAAUGACUCAUUUCGGCGCCUUACG